CCCAGUAGCGGCGAGCGAACGGGGAGGAGCCCAGAGCCUGAAUCAGCAUGUGUGUUAGUGGAAGCGUCUGGAAAGGCGCGCGAUACAGGGUGACAGCCCCGUACACAAAAGCGCAUGUGCUGUGAGCUCGAUGAGUAGGGCGGGACACGUGGUAUCCUGUCUGAAUAUGGGGGGACCAUCCUCCAAGGCUAAAUACUCCUGACUGACCGAUAGUGAACCAGUACCGUGAGGGAAAGGCGAAAAGAACCCCGGCGAGGGGAGUGAAAAAGAACCUGAAACCGUGUACGUACAAGCAGUGGGAGCACCCUUCGGGGUGUGACUGCGUACCUUUUGUAUAAUGGGUCAGCGACUUAUAUUCUGUAGCAAGGUUAACCGUAUAGGGGAGCCGGAGGGAAACCGAGUCUUAACCGGGCGUUAAGUUGCAGGGUAUAGACCCGAAACCCGGUGAUCUAGCCAUGGGCAGGUUGAAGGUUGGGUAACACUAACUGGAGGACCGAACCGACUAAUGUUGAAAAAUUAGCGGAUGACCUGUGGCUGGGGGUGAAAGGCCAAUCAAACCGGGAGAUAGCUGGUUCUCCCCGAAAGCUAUUUAGGUAGCGCCUCGUGAAUUCAUCUCCGGGGGUAGAGCACUGUUUCGGCUAGGGGGCCAUCCCGGCUUACCAACCCGAUGCAAACUGCGAAUACCGGAGAAUGUUAUCACGGGAGACACACG
This 712-nucleotide ribosomal RNA is filed under the name Salmonella enterica subsp. enterica. RNAcentral describes it as "partial 23S ribosomal RNA". It matches the Rfam family "Bacterial large subunit ribosomal RNA", at positions 239 to 990 of the family's 2925-position model. Lineage: Bacteria; Pseudomonadati; Pseudomonadota; Gammaproteobacteria; Enterobacterales; Enterobacteriaceae. The record is from RNAcentral.